RNAcentral lists this microRNA precursor (230 nucleotides) under Oryza sativa (Asian cultivated rice). RNAcentral describes it as "partial microRNA MIR433-438d-as precursor". The stretch from base 13 to 216 matches the Rfam family "MIR812 microRNA precursor family". Lineage: Eukaryota; Viridiplantae; Streptophyta; Magnoliopsida; Poales; Poaceae. The record is from RNAcentral.
CCUCCGUUUCAAAAUAAGUGCAGCCAUGGUUUUCAGUGUCCAACUUUAAUUAUUCGUCUUAUUUGAAAAAUUUUAAAAAAAAUUAAAAACAUAAGUCACGAGUAAAGUACUAUUCAUGUUUUAUUAUCUUAUAACAACAAAAUUGCUAAUUAUAAAAAAAUUUUAAAUAAGACGGAUGAUCAAAGUUGAGCGCGAAAACUCAUGGCUGCACUUAUUUUGGGACGGAGGAG